CCUGCCCCUAGAGGCAUUACAGGUGUGGCUGCUAUGUCACAUGUACGUCAGUAGUGCCAGAGAGGAGAGAGCCUAUGUCUAAGCUCAGUGUUGUGACCUAUGAAAAUAUGAAUGAUUAGUAGACUAAUACU
Molecule: small nucleolar RNA, 131 nt
Organism: Psammomys obesus (fat sand rat)
Lineage: Eukaryota; Metazoa; Chordata; Mammalia; Rodentia; Muridae
Product: small nucleolar RNA SNORA17
Exons: 1
Source: RefSeq, a predicted model, not a curated record